This 497-nucleotide ribosomal RNA is filed under the name uncultured bacterium. RNAcentral describes it as "partial 16S ribosomal RNA". It matches the Rfam family "Bacterial small subunit ribosomal RNA", at positions 28 to 507 of the family's 1533-position model. The record is from RNAcentral.
GAUGAACGCUGGCGGCGUGCCUAAUACAUGCAAGUCGAGCGAACAGACGAGGAGCUUGCUCCUCUGACGUUAGCGGCGGACGGGUGAGUAACACGUGGAUAACCUACCUAUAAGACUGGGAUAACUUCGGGAAACCGGAGCUAAUACCGGAUAAUAUAUUGAACCGCAUGGUUCAAUAGUGAAAGACGGUUUUGCUGUCACUUAUAGAUGGAUCCGCGCCGCAUUAGCUAGUUGGUAAGGUAACGGCUUACCAAGGCAACGAUGCGUAGCCGACCUGAGGGGGUGAUCGGCCACCCUUGAACUGAGACACGGUCCAGACCCCUAAGGGAGGCAGCAGUAGGGAAUCUUCCGCAAUGGGCGAAAGCCUGACGGAGCAACGCCGCGUGAGUGAUGAAGGUCUUCGGAUCGUAAAACUCUGUUAGUAGGGAAGAACAAAUGUGUAAGUAACUAUGCACGUCUUGACGGUACCUAAUCAGAAAGCCACGGCUAACUACGUG